Molecule: ribosomal RNA, 810 nt
Filed under: uncultured bacterium
Lineage: Bacteria
Description: bacterial SSU rRNA
Rfam family: Bacterial small subunit ribosomal RNA
Source: RNAcentral
CGGCGGCAGGCUUACCAUGCAGUCGAGCGGGGAAGGUAGCUAGGCUACCUAACCUAGCGGCGGACGGGUGAGUAAUGCUUAGGAAUCUGCCUAUUAGUGGGGGACAACAUUCCGAAAGGAAUGCUAAUACCGCAUACGCCCUACGGGGGAAAGCAGGGGAUCUUCGGACCUUGCGCUAAUAGAUGAGCCUAAGUCAGAUUAGCUAGUUGGUGGGGUAAAGGCCUACCAAGGCGACGAUCUGUAGCGGGUCUGAGAGGAUGAUCCGCCACACUGGGACUGAGACACGGCCCAGACUCCUACGGGAGGCAGCAGUGGGGAAUAUUGGACAAUGGGCGAAAGCCUGAUCCAGCCAUGCCGCGUGUGUGAAGAAGGCCUUUUGGUUGUAAAGCACUUUAAGCGAGGAGGAGGCUACUUAGAUUAAUACUCUAGGAUAGUGGACGUUACUCGCAGAAUAAGCACCGGCUAACUCUGUGCCAGCAGCCGCGGUAAUACAGAGGGUGCGAGCGUUAAUCGGAUUUACUGGGCGUAAAGCGUGCGUAGGCGGCUUUUUAAGUCGGAUGUGAAAUCCCUGAGCUUAACUUAGGAAUUGCAUUCGAUACUGGGAAGCUAGAGUAUGGGAGAGGAUGGGUAGAAUUCCAGUGUAGCGGUGAAAUGCGUAGAGAUCUGGAGGAAUACCGAUGGCGAAAGGCAGCCAUCUGGGCCUAAUACUGACGCUGAGUACGAAAGCAUGGGGAGCAAACAGGAUUAGAUACCCUGGUAGUCCAUGCCGUAACGAUGUCUACUAGCCGUGGGGGCCUUUGAGCUUUAGUG